CCCUGUGGCUGGGGGUUUAGAAUACAGCCACGGUAACCCCUGCCUGUCGUAGGAGGCGACUAAAAGGGGACGUUGCUACUGCUGAAGUAGCUUCGAUGUCAGGCCUGGGGCAUAGGCAUAGCAACAUACGUUUGAGAAUACGCGCAGCCAUGAUGGCGCUUACGGACGAUCGAUUUAUCGAUCGGGAGUCGUCCAUCUAGGUGAACGCGAGAGCAGUGGUCUUCUCGCCGGCUCGCGCGCAACGACGCCAUUAUCGAGCAUCGAUUCAUCAAGCUCGGAAUCGUGUUCACUGGAUUGUUGAAUAUAGUUAGUUUAAGUGCAGUUCAGACGAAAAAUAUGGACCAUCGAACGGUCGGUGAAACGCUCAAGAUCCGCAGCAACAGUGCAAGCGACCGGAUCAAUUACAGGAUUAAUUCAUUGUACACGCGAGCCGCCAACCACGCGUCGAUCACCCACAUGUUCACGGCCACCAUCAAAAGCAGCGGGCUGAAUUUAUAUAAUUAACGGCGCUUAUUUGCUCUCUGCUAGCACUCUUGUAAAUUCUCUAUUCAAUUUGUAUAUACCUUUGUCGAAAUAAGAUGCCACAUUUAUUCAA
Molecule: non-coding RNA, 595 nt
Organism: Osmia lignaria (orchard mason bee)
Lineage: Eukaryota; Metazoa; Arthropoda; Insecta; Hymenoptera; Megachilidae
Source: RefSeq, a predicted model, not a curated record